Molecule: ribosomal RNA, 206 nt
Filed under: uncultured bacterium
Lineage: Bacteria
Description: partial 16S ribosomal RNA
Rfam family: Bacterial small subunit ribosomal RNA
Source: RNAcentral
CGCAGGCGGCCAGGUAAGUCGAAUGUGAAAGCCCCCCGGCUCAACUGGGGAGGGUCAUUCGAUACUGCUUGGCUUGAAGGUAGGAGAGGGAAGCGGAAUUUCAGGUGUAGUGGUGAAAUGCGUAGAUAUCUGAAGGAACACCAGUGGCGAAGGCGGCUUUCUGGCCUAUUCUUGACGCUGAGGCGCGAAAGCUAGGGGAGCGAACG